UUCUUCGGAGAGUUUGAUCCUGGCUCAGGAUGAACGCUGGCGGCGUGCCUAAUACAUGCAAGUCGAGCGAACUGAUUAGAAGCUUGCUUCUAUGACGUUAGCGGCGGACGGGUGAGUAACACGUGGGCAACCUGCCUGUAAGACUGGGAUAACUUCGGGAAACCGAAGCUAAUACCGGAUAGGAUCUUCUCCUUCAUGGGAGAUGAUUGAAAGAUGGUUUCGGCUAUCA
Molecule: ribosomal RNA, 229 nt
Filed under: Priestia aryabhattai
Lineage: Bacteria; Bacillati; Bacillota; Bacilli; Caryophanales; Bacillaceae
Description: Bacillus aryabhattai partial 16S ribosomal RNA
Rfam family: Bacterial small subunit ribosomal RNA
Source: RNAcentral